RNAcentral lists this transfer RNA (85 nucleotides) under Parachlorella kessleri. Its description in RNAcentral is "tRNA-Leu". It matches the Rfam family "tRNA". Rfam says of the family: Transfer RNA (tRNA) molecules are approximately 80 nucleotides in length. The record is from RNAcentral. Lineage: Eukaryota; Viridiplantae; Chlorophyta; Trebouxiophyceae; Chlorellales; Chlorellaceae.
GGGGAUAUGGCGGAAUCGGCAGACGCAACGGACUUAAAAUCCGUUGGUUUUUUAAACCGUGAGGGUUCAAGUCCCUCUAUCCCCA